AUUGAACGCUAGCGGGAUGCCUUACACAUGCAAGUCGAGCGGAGUGGCGAACGGGUGAGUAAUGUAUCGGAACGUGCCCAGUAGCGGGGGAUAACUACGCGAAAGCGUAGCUAAUACCGCAUACUAUUGGAGCGGCCGAUAUCGGAUUAGCUAGUUGGUGGGGGAACGGCUCACCAAGUCGACGAUCCGUAGCGGGUUUGAGAGGACGACCAGCCACACUGGGACUGAGACACGGCCCAGACUCCUACGGGAGUCAGCAGUGGGGAAUUUGUGACAAUGGGGGAAACCCUGAUCCAGCCUUCCCGCGUGUGCGAUGAAGGCCUUCGGGUUGUAAAGCACUUUUGGCAGGAAAGCCGUACCUGCACGAUAAGCACCGGCUAACUACGUGCCAGCCGCCGCGGUAAUUC
RNAcentral lists this ribosomal RNA (407 nucleotides) under uncultured bacterium. RNAcentral's name for it is "partial 16S ribosomal RNA". It matches the Rfam family "Bacterial small subunit ribosomal RNA", at positions 30 to 526 of the family's 1533-position model. The record is from RNAcentral.